Molecule: ribosomal RNA, 541 nt
Filed under: uncultured archaeon
Lineage: Archaea
Description: bacterial SSU rRNA
Rfam family: Archaeal small subunit ribosomal RNA
Source: RNAcentral
UCAGCCGCCGCGGGAACACCGGCGGCCCGAGUGGUGAUCGUGAUUAUUGGGUCUAAAGGGUCCGUAGCCGGUUUGGUCAGUCCUCCGGGAAAUCUGAUAGCUCAACUAUUAGGCUUUCGGGGGAUACUGCCAGACUUGGAACCGGGAGAGGUAAGAGGUACUACAGGGGUAGGAGUGAAAUCUUGUAAUCCCUGUGGGACCACCUGUGGCGAAGGCGUCUUACCAGAACGGGUUCGACGGUGAGGGACGAAAGCUGGGGGCACGAACCGGAUUAGAUACCCGGGUAGUCCCAGCCGUAAACGGUGCUCGCUAGGUGUCAGGCAUGGCGCGACCGUGUCUGGUGCCGCAGGGAAGCCGUGAAGCGAGCCACCUGGGAAGUACGGCCGCAAGGCUGAAACUUAAAGGAAUUGGCGGGGGAGCACAACAACGGGUGGAGCCCUGCGGUUUAAUUGGACUCAACGCCGGACAACUCACCGGGGGCGACAGCAAUAUGUAGGCCAAGCUGAAGACUUUGCCUGAAUCGCUGAGAGGUGGUGCAUGG